Molecule: ribosomal RNA, 164 nt
Filed under: Poteridium annuum
Lineage: Eukaryota; Viridiplantae; Streptophyta; Magnoliopsida; Rosales; Rosaceae
Description: 5.8S ribosomal RNA
Rfam family: 5.8S ribosomal RNA
About the family: 5.8S ribosomal RNA (5.8S rRNA) is a component of the large subunit of the eukaryotic ribosome. It is transcribed by RNA polymerase I as part of the 45S precursor that also contains 18S and 28S rRNA. Functionally, it is thought that 5.8S rRNA may be involved in ribosome translocation.
Source: RNAcentral
UAAACGACUCUCGACAAUGGAUAUCUCGGCUCUCGCAUUGAUGAAGAAUGUCACGAAAUGUGAUACUUGGUGUGAAUUGCAGAAUCCCGUGAACCAUCGAGUCUUUGAACGCAAAUUGCGUCCGAAGCCAUUAGGCCGAGGGCACGUCUGCCUGGGCGUCAGAC